Molecule: ribosomal RNA, 467 nt
Filed under: uncultured bacterium
Lineage: Bacteria
Description: partial 16S ribosomal RNA
Rfam family: Bacterial small subunit ribosomal RNA
Source: RNAcentral
GACGAACGCUGGCGGCGUGCUUAACACAUGCAAGUCGAACGGAAAGGCCCUGCUUUUGUGGGGUGCUCGAGUGGCGAACGGGUGAGUAACACGUGAGUAACCUGCCCUUGACUUUGGGAUAACUUCAGGAAACUGGGGCUAAUACCGGAUAGGAGCUCCUGCUGCAUGGUGGGGGUUGGAAAGUUUCGGCGGUUGGGGAUGGACUCGCGGCUUAUCAGCUUGUUGGUGGGGUAGUGGCUUACCAAGGCUUUGACGGGUAGCCGGCCUGAGAGGGUGACCGGCCACAUUGGGCCUGAGAUACGGCCCAUACUCCUACGGGAGGCAGCAGUGGGGAAUAUUGCACAAUGGGCGGAAGCCUGAUGCAGCAUCGCCGCGUGCGGGAUGACGGCCUUCGGGUUGUAAACCGCUUUCGCCUGUGACGAAGCGUGAGUGACGGUACUGGGUAAAGAAGCACCGGCUAACUACGU